Molecule: ribosomal RNA, 447 nt
Filed under: uncultured bacterium
Lineage: Bacteria
Description: bacterial SSU rRNA
Rfam family: Bacterial small subunit ribosomal RNA
Source: RNAcentral
UCGGGAAUUUUGGGCAAUGGGCGAAAGCCUGACCCAGCAACGCCGCGUGAAGGAUGAAGUAUUUCGGUAUGUAAACUUCGUAAGAAUAGGAAGAAUAAAUGACGGUACUAUUUGUAAGGUCCGGCUAACUACGUGCCAGCAGCCGCGGUAAUACGUAGGGACCAAGCGUUGUUCGGAUUUACUGGGCGUAAAGGGCGCGUAGGCGGCCUUGCAAGUCAGAUGUGAAAUUUCGGGGCUCAACCCCGAAGCGGCAUUUGAAACUACAGGGCUAGAGGAUAGGCGGAGAAAACGGAAUUCCACAAGUAGCGGUGAAAUGCGUAGAUAUUAGGAAGAACACCAGUGGCGAAGGCGGCCAACUGGCUCGAUACUGACGCUGAGGUGCGAAAGCGUGGGGAGCAAACAGGAUUAGAUACCCCCGUAGUCCCUGAGCGGGCUGGCAAGGCGCAU